UAGGGAAUCUUCGGCAAUGGGGGGAACCCUGACCGAGCAACGCCGCGUGAGUGAAGAAGGUUUUCGGAUCGUAAAGCUCUGUUGUUAAGGAAGAACGAGUGUGAGAAUGGAAAGUUCAUGCUGUGACGGUACUUAACCAGAAAGGGACGGCUAACUACGUGCCAGCAGCCGCGGUAAUACGUAGGUGGCAAGCGUUGUCCGGAUUUAUUGGGCGUAAAGCGAGCGCAGGCGGUCAAUUAAGUCUGAUGUGAAAGCCCCCGGCUCAACCGGGGAGGGUCAUUGGAAACUGGUUGACUUGAGUGCAGAAGAGGGGAGUGGAAUUCCAUGUGUAGCGGUGAAAUGCGUAGAUAUAUGGAGGAACACCAGUGGCGAAGGCGACUCUCUGGUCUGUAACUGACGCUGAGGCUCGAAAGCGUGGGGAGCGAACAGG
Molecule: ribosomal RNA, 430 nt
Filed under: Bacteroidota bacterium
Lineage: Bacteria; Pseudomonadati; Bacteroidota
Description: Bacteroidetes bacterium partial 16S ribosomal RNA
Rfam family: Bacterial small subunit ribosomal RNA
Source: RNAcentral